RNAcentral lists this ribosomal RNA (310 nucleotides) under uncultured eukaryote. RNAcentral describes it as "partial 18S ribosomal RNA". It matches the Rfam family "Eukaryotic small subunit ribosomal RNA", at positions 1470 to 1796 of the family's 1831-position model. The record is from RNAcentral.
CCCUUAGAUGUUCUGGGCGGCCCGCGCACUACAAUGGCGCUUUCAGCGAGUUCCUAUGUUGAAUUUUCCUUGGUAUUCUUGGAAGCGGCGUCUUGACUUGGGAUAGAUCCUUGUAAUUGUUGGUUUUGAACGAGGAAUUCCUUGUAAUCGCGGUUGACCAGCUCGCGUUGAAUACGUCCCUGCCCUUUGUACACACCGCCCGUCGCUCCUACCGAUGAAUCGUCCGGUGAAGUUCACAGAGUGGCGGUUCGUGGAGUUGCUCGCGAAGUGAAAUGGACCUCACGAUUUAGAGGAAGGAGAAGUCGUAACA